GAUCCUGGCUCAGGACGAACGCUAGCUACAGGCUUAACACAUGCAAGUCGAGGGGCAGCAUGAAGUUUGCUUGCAAACUUUGAUGGCGACCGGCGCACGGGUGAGUAACGCGUAUCCAACCCUGCCCGCAACCGCGGAAUAGCCCGCCGAAAGGCGGAUUAAUGCCGCAUGAGCUCGCGUGGGGGCAUCUGCCCGCGAGCAAAGGUUCACUCCGGUUGCGGAUGGGGAUGCGUCCGAUUAGGCAGCAGGCGGGGCAACGGCCCACCUGGCCUACGAUCGGUAGGGGUUCUGAGAGGAAGGUCCCCCCACAUUGGAACUGAGACACGGUCCAAACUCCUACGGGAGGCAGCAGUGAGGAAUAUUGGUCAAUGGGCGCGAGCCUGAACCAGCCAAGUAGCGUGGGGGAUGACUGCCCUAUGGGUUGUAAACCCCUUUUGCGCGGGGAUAAACCGGCGGACGCGUCCGCCGCUGCAGGUACCGCGCGAAUAAGGACCGGCUAAUUCCGUGCC
Molecule: ribosomal RNA, 509 nt
Filed under: uncultured organism
Description: SSU rRNA
Rfam family: Bacterial small subunit ribosomal RNA
Source: RNAcentral